RNAcentral lists this ribosomal RNA (1305 nucleotides) under China mantispoides. RNAcentral's name for it is "16S ribosomal RNA". The stretch from base 867 to 1233 matches the Rfam family "Archaeal large subunit ribosomal RNA", at positions 2151 to 2715 of the family's 2987-position model. The record is from RNAcentral. Lineage: Eukaryota; Metazoa; Arthropoda; Insecta; Orthoptera; Chorotypidae.
UUUUGUUUUAUUAAUAUUUGUUUUUUAAUUUAGGUUAUUUAAUAAAAGCAAUUUUAUUUAUUUAUUGUUUCAGUAUAUUUUUUAGAAAAGAUAUUUUUAUUUAUAUAUUACUAGUAAUGUAAAUGGAUUAAUUAACAUAUUUAUAAGUAAAUUUUUAUUAUUGUACCUUUUGUAUCAGGGUGAAUUAAAAUGGAAUUAUUUAUAUGUGGUGGUCUCGAAUUUAACUGAGUUAAUAAUAUUAUUUUAGUUAAUGUUGAAUAAUUAUUAAUAAUAUUUAUUGGAAGUGAUAUGUUAUUCGGUUUUAAUGAUAUCUAGUUUUCUAAGAAUUAAGUUUAAUUUAUUCAGUAGUUUUAUUAAUUAAUAUUUAUUUUUAUUUAUGAUUAUUGAGAAAUUUUUUAGGGGUUAAGCUCUAUAAUUAAUUCUUUAAAAAUGAUUUUAUUGUUAAAUUAGUAGGCUUUAAAGCAGCUAUCUCUAAUGAUUACGUUUUAGUUCAUUAACUUUUAUAAUGAUUUUUUUUAUUUAAGAUUUUUUAUUAGAAUUAUUAUAUUAAUAUUUAAUAUGAUGUAAUAAUGAUUUAAUUAGUAUAAAUUUAUAUAUAAUAUUUGAUUUUUGAUAAUUUUUUAUAAGGAAUUAGGCAAGAUUAUAUCCUCGCCUGUUUAUCAAAAACAUGUCUUAUUUGAUAAUAAUUUUAAGUCUGAUCUGCUCACUGAAAUAAAUUUAAAUAGCCGCGGUAUUUUGACCGUGCAAAGGUAGCAUAAUCAUUAGUUUUUUAAUUAAAAGCUGGAAUGAAUGAUUUGACGAGGGGUAUACUGUCUACAUUUAAAUUAAUAAAAUUUAACUUUUUAGUUAAAAGGCUAACAUAAAAAUUAAAGACGAGAAGACCCUAUAGAGUUUAAGUAAUUAAAGCUUAAUUAAUUUUUAAUGUUUAUAUAAAAUAUAUAUCUUAUUUUAUUUUGGUUGGGGUGACUGGGAAAGUAAUUAAGCUUUCUUUUUUAAUUUCAUUUGUUUAUGAAUUUUUUUGAUCCAAAUUUGUUUGAUUAAAAGAUCAAAUUACCUUAGGGAUAACAGCGUAAUUGGUCUUGAAAGUUCUUAUUGAAGGACUAGAUUGCGACCUCGAUGUUGGAUUAAGAUAAAGUUGUGGUGCAGAAAUUACAAUAUAAGGUCUGUUCGACCUUUAAAUUCUUACAUGAUCUGAGUUCAGACCGGUUUAAGCCAGGUCGGUUUCUAUCUUAAUUUGAUAUAAUUAUAUUAGUACGAAAGGAUUAUAUAAUUUUGAUAAUCUUUAAAUAUUUGACUUAAAUUAGU